Molecule: transfer RNA, 72 nt
Filed under: Aspergillus homomorphus CBS 101889
Lineage: Eukaryota; Fungi; Ascomycota; Eurotiomycetes; Eurotiales; Aspergillaceae
Description: Aspergillus homomorphus (strain CBS 101889) tRNA
Rfam family: tRNA
About the family: Transfer RNA (tRNA) molecules are approximately 80 nucleotides in length. Their secondary structure includes four short double-helical elements and three loops (D, anti-codon, and T loops).
Source: Rfam by way of RNAcentral
GCACUGGUGGCUCAGUGGUAGAGCGUCGCACUCGUAAUGCGAAGGUCGUGGGUUCAAACCCCAUUCGGUGCA